UGUGCCCUUCAGCCGCACAGAGUUUGGCUGCCAAGGCUGUGGAUAGAGCACAGUGAACCUGCUUCUGUAUGGAGCCCUCAGUGUGCGAUGGCCCCUCUGCACAUGGGCCUCGAGUAUGGGAUUUCUGGGUUAAUGCUGAGCGCGUUUUACCCUCUGCACUUCCCGCUGCCUUCUGAAGCGGCUCUUUCCUAGCUCUGUAGGAAAGCACCUGCGUCUGCACCAGCGCCAGCGUCUGGUGGUGCCAUCUUUUCACUGUCUCAGAACUGAAAAGGGACUCUCCUUGCAUUUUGGCAAUGAUGGUAAAGUUGUGCUUCUUUUAUAAAUUUAUUUUCCACCUCAGAAAAGUUCCCAUAUAUGCUUUUUGGCCCCUGCCCCGCCCCCCUUUCUUUUUAAAUUGCACUACUGGCUGCCUUUCAGUGAUUUCCAGGAGUUGUGCACAUGCCACAGGUGUUAAUCCUUUGCUAUUUUUAUUUCAAAUUCUUGCCCCCCACUGACUAACUUUCAUCUUUAUGGUAAAACAGUUUUACCUUUUUAUUUUGUGAAUUAUUAUAUGCACCAUGGACUUUCGGCUUCUGAGUCUGUAGCUUCUGUAUUUAAUGUCUCAUUUGCAAAACUUUUUGCUCCAAGAUUAGGCUAAUAUUCAUCAGUGUUUUUAAAAGUUAUACCAGUUCAUGUUUUUGUUGGUUUUUUAACCCUCCAGAGUUUAUUAUUUUUAGGAAUAGAAUGAAAUAUUGAUGUAUAAAACUCCUAAAGUACAAAAACCCUAUUUUUGGAUUCCAUUCUGUUUUGCAACAUCCUACUGUCUUAUUAAUUGCAAUUUGUAGAGUGUUUUAAUUUCUGCUAGGGAGGAUCUUUGUGGUUUCUCUCUGUGAGCACCCUCUCCUGUGGUGUUCCAGACAGGUUACUUUUGACAAGCAGACUACUACGCCUUCCUUUCCAUCUUCCUGGAGAUGGGUAGCCUAUAGUAAAAACAACCUGCUUCACAAAGUUCUUCAUGUAGACACUUCCCCUGUGCAUGAGUAGGUUCAUAAAGGGGCGGGCCAUUGUUUUUCAUUUUUGGCAGAAAAAGCAAGAAAUUAAACCAUGGUUCAUGUUUCUCUGUGGUCAGCAACUUCAUUCUCCAGCCCUGGAUGUUCCAUUUCACCCAUGUCCAUCUGCAUUUCCACAGCAGGGCUGAUCCCUCUCCCUGCCACAUUCUGUCCUUAGAAGAUUAAAUGAGAGGAUUGAGAAAACUUCAUUUAGCUAGAGCAAGAGAUCAUGGUGGGGCUUAGCACAGUAAGAGGGAAUGUGUCCUCGGGCAGCGGCCACACUUGAGCAAACUGGGGGGGGUGACUUGAUCAUGCAUGCGUGCGCAUGCACACACACACCAUACCAUACACACACAACACUACACCACACACACACACACAUAUGCUACACUGUACACACACCAUACCACACCCCCCAUACACAACACACCACACACACCAUACCACACCCCCCAUACACAACACACCACACACACCACACCACACACACACAACACCAUACCACACCCCCCACACACCACACCACACACACACACAACACCAUACCACACAUAUACAUACACCACACCACAUACACAACACAAACACUAUACCACACAUAUAUACACCACACCAUACACGCAUCUAUACACUACACACACACUAUACUGCACGCAUACAUACUACACCAUACAUAUGCUGUACUACUCACAUACCAUACCACACAUAUAAACAUACACCAUACACAUACAUACACUAUACUAUACACACAAAAUGUACACCGCACCUCCCCACCACACACACCACACAUAUACAUACACUACACACAUACUACACACACAAACACACACACACUCUCUCUCUCUUUCUCUCUGUGUGUUCUAUUUUCACCUGAUCGAAUAUUCACCAAAUAUUAUCAUCUUAGUAUCUGUAAAAACUCCAGGGACUUAUAUAGGAAAUAAUUUCCUUUUCAAGAAUUGGCAUUAAUAUUUGGAAGGUCAGUGUUUUCAACAGGACAGAGAUUGCUUCGCUGCUGUUGGUGUGCUGGCUUUGGGAACCUAAACGUGAUUGUCCAUGGAUGGCACAUGAAUCUGAAUCUGAGGCGUGCUGCCUAGACAAACUGUCCAGUGGAAGGCUGGCGCCAUCACUGUGAGCCAUAACACAGAUGCCUGUGUCAUGCAGAAAGUUCUGCUCUUCAGCUGCUGCGAUGAGUUGAGCCCUGUUCCUUCAAGAGUGGAAGCCAGAGAUAUCUGUUACCUGCAUAGCUGUGUGACGUCCUCAGGUCCUGUGGGCAUCAAUUCAAAGAGCGUCUGUAUGGAUCUACAUUAGCUGUGAUUACCAUGGCUGUCACAAAGAGGCAGUACUUGGAAGCCAUGGUGCUCACCCCCUAGAGGCCAUGUGUGGUCCAAGUGGGGCUUGUUGAAACGUCCUGGAUCAGAGUCCUGGCAGUGCCAUGGAGGGGCGCUCCCUGGGCGGGUCUAAGCUGCUUCCUUCCCAGGCUGCUCUGAUAGCCCAUUGCUGUUCCUCUUCUUGGUGAAUCCCCUGCCCUGCUCGGGGCACACUCAAGGCUAUGGGGUGUAUGAAACGGGGUUCUAGCUCUCAGGCAGGGAUUGUUGGGCUGGCUGUGCAAGGAUGUGCUUCUGUGGGAGCACCACUGGAACACACUCCCAACUCCGCAGUGUGGAAUGAGAGGCUCCUUACUGCAGGAACUUGUGUAUUUCUCAUUAUCUUUCUCAGUUCAAUUUAGUUUUCAGAGGAGGAGGCCAUUUAAAGUAGCCAGUUAUAAAUUUGACAGUAAAAUUUUGAUCCACAAUCUGUGUAAACAGCCAGAUAGCACAUAUUUAUAUAGCUUUAGGCUCAUUAUGGGGCUCAGUGGGACAGUAAUGUGCUUAUGAUAUGCAGGCUUGGGUCUUCACCAACAAAACAUCUUCACCAGCAAAACUCCUUUUUAAAAAGAAUAUUUGUAACAAAUAUAUAUUUGCUCCAAAUUUAUUUUAUCUUUAGUUAAUUUUACUAGUCUUGUGAUUGUUUUCCUGCAACAUAGAUAGCCCAAAGAAAAAAAUGCCACUAACAGUAAAUAUUGUUACUGUGGAGCAGUACAUAUUAUUGAAAGUUGAGGUUGUAAUUUUUUAAAAAAUUUAUUUAUUUUUUUUUGUUUUAGGUGGACACAGUAUCUUUAUUUUAUUUUUAUGUGGUGCUGAGGAUUGAACCCAGUGCCUCAUGCAUGCUAGGCGAGUGCUCUACCACUGAGCCCCAGCCCUAGCCCCAGGGUUGUAAUUUUUAAUGGUGAAUAGUGCUGAUAAAAAUUUUAUUCUACCGUCAUGAAAUAAAUGUUUGAGCUGUGUGACUAGGAAGGUACUAAUCUUCUAAUUAUUGUACAUUAUGGGAAAGACCUCCUGAAGCAUUCUGCGACAUCUCAACAGUUGCAUAUUUCCUAGCAUUUUCUACGUCUGGAAUAGUCAUCAGACUUGGUGCAUUGCAGUAGCUGGCAUAGGAAGAGAUAGGUUUCAUGGCACUCGCCCAGGGCUAGUUCAUUUGUCACCUUGGCAGAUGUGGUAUCACCAGGGACUUGGCGCCUGAACAGGGAUGUUCUGCUGCUUAUCAUAGGACCUUCUGAUAAUAAAUCAGUGGAAAGUUUGGCACUCAUUAUAGAUGAAAAACUCAAGGAUUAGACACUUCUAAAAAAGCUUAAUUUCAUCUGGUGGACACAAAAGUUAAAUACCUUCUGCUGGACACAAAAGUUCUCUCCUCUCAAUGUGCCAGCAUUGUGCUACCUCCAUUCUCACAUGUCCCUCCAGCACCAUUUCUCUGCCUGCUCUCCCACAGGUGCUGUGGCCUGGCUGGUGGUGCUGCUGGAUGGUUCUUGACAAGAGCAGUUGCUUGCCGUCUGCCUGCUGCUAGUGGGCUGCCUAAGAUGUAUUGCUGGCCUUCGCUGAGAAAUAAUUUCCAUAGGAUUUCUUUGUCCUAGAUUUGGAAAAAGAGAAGACUGAUCAGGAGGAAAUAUGGUGUGUUUGGAAGAUCAAAGCAAUCCCGUGUUUCAGGUGGAAUACUCUAAAAAAAAAUCUUUUGGUAAUAGUUCUAUCUACUGUAAAAAGUCCAAACAUCAAAAAUAAGUAAAUGAAUAAAAAAGUAUAAGAAGAAUGCAAAUGCUGUGUGGAACAGCCGCCGCCUCCUGCUCCCAGCCCUCCUAGGUGUUCCGCAGAGCCCUCCCUGGCUCCAUCUCUCCAGAGUGUGCAGAGUGUGGUCCUCCAUGCAUAAUGUUUGACUUCUACUUUUGACACUCAAAACAUGUUACAGAUGACUUUCCUUAUUAAAGAAAGGAAAAGUACAAUCAUAAUUUGUUUUAUCUUGAGUUAUUUUUACUAGUUUUGUGACUGUUUUCCUAUUGUUCUUCUGGAGCUCCC
Molecule: long non-coding RNA, 4411 nt
Filed under: Marmota monax (woodchuck)
Lineage: Eukaryota; Metazoa; Chordata; Mammalia; Rodentia; Sciuridae
Source: RNAcentral